Molecule: long non-coding RNA, 1010 nt
Filed under: Solanum tuberosum (potato)
Lineage: Eukaryota; Viridiplantae; Streptophyta; Magnoliopsida; Solanales; Solanaceae
Description: long non-coding RNA (STUB_LNC000196)
Source: RNAcentral
UGCUUGACAAGAAAGAUUAUCCACCACAUUCUGCAUGAUCAUUCACCAAGCCACUCAACCCUAGCUCCUAAAUGCUUAAGCUUUCUCAAUGGAAUAACUUACAGUACUAACAUUUGACUUAAAUUUAGUCUGAUUUUUAUUUGAUAUAGUUGUAGAAGGAUGAAACACAAAUAUUCAAAUUAAACUUGUACUUGCCAAGUCACAACAUCACCCAAUUUACUCAACAUAUAAACUUCUAGUCAGAUGGGAGUUUCGAUUGCCAAGACAAGGGGCAUAAGAAAAAGAGGAUAGAUAGCAGUAGCGCCUUGCCCUUUAUCAGACAAGAAUGUGAUAAAGAGAUACAUGGAAAAAGAAUUGAGAAUGUAUUGCUUGAUCAUUCUACUAAGCAAUUGAGUGUUUAUACAGACAUCUAGUCAAAAUUAGGAAAGACAUAACUACAAAUAAAUAAUAUCUAUGUAAUUGAUUCUAUCUAAUAUACACAAUAUUCUCAAAGAGAGUCAAGCAAGGAGAAUAAUAGUCUCUUAUAAAGUUACUUAAUACAAUGUUAUCCUUCACUAAAAGCUACUUACUAAAAUAUUACCUUAAAAAAUAGUAGCAGUAGUAGUAGUAAUUACCAACAACAUACCGAGUGUAAUCCCACAAGUGGGGUCUGGGAGGGUGGUGUGCACGCAGCCUUACCACUACCUUGUGAAGGUAGAGAGACUAUUCCCAAUAGACCCUUUACUCAAAUAAAGCAUAUCAAAACCAAUGAGGAAAGGAAAUGCCAUAGUGAAGUAACCAUAUCGGUAGCAACAACAAACAGUACAAUAACCGAAGCAAAAAAACAAACAUGUAAUGAUAAAAUCGAAGCAUCAGAAGUAGUAGUUACCAAUUCAAUAAAGUACUAUGGAAAAUUAUGAGCCACUAUUAAGACACAAGAAAAAUGUGGUAAAUAGGUAAGAAUAGAAAAGGAUGGGUGUCUUAGAACUUCUGUAGAGUUUUGAAGGUGAGCUUUUGAAAGAAGUGAGUCU